GACGUAGGGCGCGAGCGUUGUCCGGAUUUAUUGGGCGUAAAGAGCUCGUAGGCGGCUUGUCGCGUCGUCCGUGAAAACCUGUGGCUCAACUGCAGGCUUGCGGUCGAUACGGGCAGGCUAGAGUUCGGUAGGGGAGACUGGAAUUCCUGGUGUAGCGGUGAAAUGCACAGAUAUCAGGAGGAACACCGGUGGCGAAGGCGGGUCUCUGGGCCGAUACUGACGCUGAGGAGCGAAAGCGUGGGGAGCGAACAGG
Molecule: ribosomal RNA, 253 nt
Filed under: uncultured bacterium
Lineage: Bacteria
Description: partial 16S ribosomal RNA
Rfam family: Bacterial small subunit ribosomal RNA
Source: RNAcentral